GGCACUUCCCCUUCGAUCCCUUGCUCGCUGCUGCUGCCACGUAAGAAGUGUGUUGCUUCCCCUUCGUCUUCCACCAUGAAUAACAGAAUGGCAAUUUUCGUGUGGUGUUAAUUUCCGUGGAAGAAGAAAAGGCUCGACUCUCUGUCCUAUUUUUCAUGAAUACUGGAAGUAGGGAAUAAACCUGGAGUCUCACGGGUGAAAAGAGACAUUUCCAUAUCACCAGACCACAAACGUGGGUGUUGAUUCUAAGGAUACCCCCAAUAAACAUCUUUCGUGCUAAAGCCCAUUCCAGAAUUUACUUCCCAGCUAUCUUUGAUGUUCAUAUUGUCAGAGGUGGUGGCCGCUGAAACAGGCAAAGACAUGGAGCAUAUCUUGGGUCCAGGACCUUGGGAGUCCAGAGGAAGGUCUUUUUACCAUCAGCAUUCUCUACUGUGUUCAAUGACUGUCAGCCAAAGAUGGCCAGCUUUCCUUCAGAAAGAAAUGCAUUCAAAGAACCUACAUUCACAACAUAAAGAAAUAAAGCCUGCACCUACAGAUCUACACACAUGCCCAUGCACAUGCAGGAAGUGUUCAUCUAAGACUGGACCUUUUAGAAGAAAGCUGGCAUACAUUCGUGAAGGCAUGGGCUUCCAGGCAUGUCAUCUUCACUCACGAAGCACACACAAGACCGCCAAGCAUUAAGAUUCUCCUGUGGAGCCAGGCUACAAUCCUUUAAAUGAAGACAGACAGCUAGGUGGCUGCAGCCCAGCGCUACACCUCACCCCUCCCUCAGUGUCAUGCAGAAAAAAUGUAUUCAGAACUCAGAAGUGAAGUUGUGCAAAUCCAUCAUUGACACUAGCUUCAAGGUUACCUCGGGGGAGCAGAAUGUACCCCUGCCAGAGAGCUGGAUAGAUGAUGAUGGGGACAGAAAUUCUGGGGGAGUUGUAAAUGGCAGCCACUGCCUCUAUAGGAAACCCAAAGGGAACACAGCAGAAGAGGAGGUGGUGGAGGAGCCACUGCCCUCUCGAAGGGUUCAAUGUCAUUCUGCAGACACAACCAAAUAACUUUUUCUUCCCUGCUGCUCCUCCAUUUGAAAUGACAGCCCCGAGCUCGCUUUUUCCUUGAUUGUGUAACUCUGAUUACAGACAAGGCCAAGGCAAUCCCAGGGCAUUACUACAAAGCUAAGGGGUCCCCAAAGAACUAAAGAGUCAGCUCCACAAAAAUCCCGAUUCCUAGCAUGAAACUGAAAUAUGAAACCAAACGGGCAUAGAAAAGGUAUGUGCAUUCGAAUCACAUAGCAGUGACUGGAGUCCUGAGCUGUGUCUGAAGACUGUGAGAUCACGUUUGGAGCUGCUGAUUGGUUUUCAGUGAUGGCCCUGUUGCACAGUGCCGUGAGACUUAGCUCCAUGGCCAAAGACGAUGGUAUCCCCUAGGAGCCCUGUGAGGUUGCUGCUGUUCUCUUAAGACACCAGGUAGCCAUCUGAUCCUCCCUGAGCAAACUAACUGGGCAGACAGGUUUAUUAAACCUCUGUUGGUCCGACUUACAUGAAACAAGAGAGUUAUUUUGUUGUUGUUGUUUUGUUUUGUUUUAAAUUAAACCUGUCUUUGGAGCCUC
This 1594-nucleotide long non-coding RNA is filed under the name Homo sapiens (human). Its description in RNAcentral is "HSALNT0386579". Lineage: Eukaryota; Metazoa; Chordata; Mammalia; Primates; Hominidae. The record is from RNAcentral.